GACCUCGAAGCGAAUCGCAGGCUCCGCGAGUGACUGUAUAGGGUGGGAGGAGAAAGAGGUGGAUCUGUCGUGAGUCCUUUCUCACUCUCUCUCUCUCACGCACACACUAGACAACAGAGCGUCUUUUUACGGCUGUGGAUAAGAAAUAGAGAGAUCAGGGGGAGGGAGAGAAGGGAGGGAAGGAAGACGAUGGAGACGAGCGCUCCGACAAGGAAGCCGCGGGCCUCAACGGAUGAUCCGCUGACUUGAUCGGAGGCGCCUGCUUCCCGCUGACCGCACCAGGACGUUUGCAGUUGUCGGAUGAGGUCCACGAGGUGCUGCUCGGGGGGGGCAGGUCACCGAGGAGGCGGCCGAGAGCGUCCUGAAGAGAGCUCUGCAUGUGUUUAAAAUGGCGAAGAUUACAGGUGAAAACAGCUGAGAAAAUUCGUACCCAUUAAGUGGGAAAAAUGAGUGGCAAUGACAUCAUCAACACAACAAGGCUCCGUGGAGAGAAACACUUGGUAUGGCAAAGCUAAAACAGAUUAUUGCAGUUUGUCUUCUCUGACAUGUUACCCUCUUUUCUAAUGGUGGCCUCCAUGCUUGGGUUCGAAGUUCCUUACCUUGACUGUUUUAGGAGAGCUUUAUGCUGUUGAUGAUAAGUGGUUUGGAUAUUAUAAUCAACCUUUGAUGAUUAGUGGCUUGGAAUAAUCUUCAUUUCAUGUAUUGACUUGGUUUGGAUCA
Molecule: long non-coding RNA, 720 nt
Organism: Musa acuminata AAA Group (dessert banana)
Lineage: Eukaryota; Viridiplantae; Streptophyta; Magnoliopsida; Zingiberales; Musaceae
Exons: 3
Source: RefSeq, a predicted model, not a curated record